AUGGUGAAGAAGGUGAAAGGUGGUAUUGAGAAGGGCAUUCCCAAAUACAAGUGCUAUCGCUUGGAUGACAAAGAUACUCUAUUCUUCGAGGAUCGAAUUGUGGUUCCUAAAGGCGAUCUAAGGAAAGUAAUUAUGAACGAGGCACACAAUUCCCUUCUAUCCACUCAUCCAGGAAGUACAAAGAUGUACCAUGACCUCAAGCAGUCGUAUUGGUGGACUCAAAUGAAGCGAGAAAUUGCUCGAUUCAUGAAUGAAUGUGACGUCUGCAGAAGGGUGAAAGCAGAACACCAACGACCAGCUGGUCUCCUCCAACCUCUUGCUAUUCCAGAAUGGAAGUUUGAUCAUACUGAAAUGGACUUUGUUACUGGAUUUCCAAAGUCCAAGCGUGGGAAUGAUGCUAUUUUCGUUGUCAUUGACAAGCUUACUAAAGUGGCUCAUUCCCUUCCUAUCAAAGAAUAUCUAUCAUAG
RNAcentral lists this ribosomal RNA (468 nucleotides) under Triticum aestivum (bread wheat). RNAcentral's name for it is "partial small subunit ribosomal RNA". Lineage: Eukaryota; Viridiplantae; Streptophyta; Magnoliopsida; Poales; Poaceae. The record is from RNAcentral.